This 255-nucleotide ribosomal RNA is filed under the name uncultured bacterium. Its description in RNAcentral is "partial 16S ribosomal RNA". It matches the Rfam family "Bacterial small subunit ribosomal RNA", at positions 524 to 776 of the family's 1533-position model. The record is from RNAcentral.
UACGUAGGGGGGCAAGCGUUGUCCGGAUUUAUUGGGCGUAAAGAGCGUGUAGGCGGCUUCACAGGUCCGCUGUGAAAACUCGAGGCUCAACCUCGAGCUGUCGGUGGAAACCGUGUGGCUAGAGUCCGGAAGAGGAGAGUGGAAUUCCCGGUGUAGCGGUGAAAUGCGCAGAUAUCGGGAAGAACACCCGUGGCGAAGGCGGCUCUCUGGGACGGUACUGACGCUGAGACGCGAAAAGCGUGGGGAGCAAACAGG